CAGGUGCUGCAUGGCUGUCGUCAGCUCGUGUCGUGAGAUGUUGGGUUAAGUCCCGCAACGAGCGCAACCCUCGUCAUUAGUUGCUAACAGUUCGGCUGAGAACUCUAAUGAGACUGCCUACGCAAGUAGGAGGAAGGUGAGGACGACGUCAAGUCAUCAUGGCCCUUACGUCCAGGGCUACACACGUGCUACAAUGGGGUAUACAAAGAGCAGCAAUACGGUGACGUGGAGCAAAUCUCAAAAAUAUCUCCCAGUUCGGAUUGUAGUCUGCAACUCGACUACAUGAAGUUGGAAUCGCUAGUAAUCGUAGAUCAGCUAUGCUACGGUGAAUACGUUCCCGGGUCUUGUACUCACCGCCCGUCACACCAUGGGAGUUGAACUCAUUCGAAGCGGGGAUGCUAAAGUAGCUACCUUCCACAGUGGAUUCAGCGACUGGGGUGAAGUCGUAACAAGGUAACCGUAGGAGAACCUGCGGUUGGAUCACCUCCUUU
Molecule: ribosomal RNA, 491 nt
Filed under: Candidatus Magasanikiibacteriota bacterium
Lineage: Bacteria; Candidatus Magasanikiibacteriota
Description: bacterial SSU rRNA
Rfam family: Bacterial small subunit ribosomal RNA
Source: RNAcentral